RNAcentral lists this ribosomal RNA (301 nucleotides) under uncultured bacterium. Its description in RNAcentral is "partial 16S ribosomal RNA". It matches the Rfam family "Bacterial small subunit ribosomal RNA", at positions 509 to 807 of the family's 1533-position model. The record is from RNAcentral.
CAGUAGCCGCGGUAAUACAGAGGCCUCAAGCGUUGUUCGGAUUCAUUGGGCGUAAAGGGUGCGUAGGUGGCUUGGUAAGUUGAAGGUGAAAUCUCGGGGCUUAACCCCGAAACUGCCUUCAAUACUGCUAGGCCCGAGGACUGUAGAGGAGAAUGGAAUUCACGGUGUAGCAGUGAAAUGCGUAGAGAUCUGGAGGAAUACCGAUGGCGAAGGCAGCCAUCUGGCCUAAUACUGACGCUGAGGUACGAAAGCAUGGGGAGCAAACAGGAUUAGAUACCCCUGUAGUCCCUGUCUCUUAUAC